GGGGGAUAUUGCGCAAUGGGGGCAACCCUGACGCAGCAACGCCGCGUGAAGGAUGAAGGUUUUCGGAUUGUAAACUUCUUUUAUUAAGGACGAAAAAUGACGGUACUUAAUGAAUAAGCUCCGGCUAACUACGUGCCAGCAGCCGCGGUAAUACGUAGGGAGCAAGCGUUGUCCGGAUUUACUGGGUGUAAAGGGUGCGUAGGCGGCUUUGCAAGUCAGAUGUGAAAUCUAUGGGCUCAACCCAUAAACUGCAUUUGAAACUGUAGAGCUUGAGUGAAGUAGAGGCAGGCGGAAUUCCCCGUGUAGCGGUGAAAUGCGUAGAGAUGGGGAGGAACACCAGUGGCGAAGGCGGCCUGCUGGGCUUUAACUGACGCUGAGGCACGAAAGCGUGGGUAGCAAACAGGAUCAGAUACCCUGGUAGUCCACGCUGUAAACGAUGAUUACUAGGUGUGGGGGGUCUGACCCCUUCCGUGCCGGAGUUAACACAAUAAGUAAUCCACCUGGGGAGUACGGCCGCAAGGUUGAAACUCAAAGGAAUUGACGGGGGCCCGCACAAGCAGUGGAGUAUGUGGUUUAAUUCGAAGCAACGCGAAGAACCUUACCAGGUCUUGACAUCCAACUAACGAAGUAGAGAUACAUUAGGUGCCCUUCGGGGAAAGUUGAGACAGGUGGUGCAUGGUUGUCGUCAGCUCGUGUCGUGAGAUGUUGGGUUAAGUCCCGCAACGAGCGCAACCCUUGCUAUUAGUUGCUACGCAAGAGCACUCUAAUAGGACUGCCGUUGACAAAACGGAGGAAGGUGGGGACGACGUCAAAUCAUCAUGCCCCUUAUGACCUGGGCUACACACGUACUACAAUGGAUGUUAACAGAGGGAAGCAAGACAGCGAUGUGGAGCAAACCCCUAAAAACAUUCUCAGUUCAGAUUGCAGGCUGCAACCCGCCUGCAUGAAGAUGGAAUUGCUAGUAAUCGCGGAUCAGCAUGCCGCGGUGAAUACGUUCCCG
This 1000-nucleotide ribosomal RNA is filed under the name uncultured organism. RNAcentral describes it as "bacterial SSU rRNA". It matches the Rfam family "Bacterial small subunit ribosomal RNA", at positions 356 to 1376 of the family's 1533-position model. The record is from RNAcentral.